RNAcentral lists this ribosomal RNA (471 nucleotides) under uncultured bacterium. Its description in RNAcentral is "bacterial SSU rRNA". It matches the Rfam family "Bacterial small subunit ribosomal RNA", at positions 28 to 490 of the family's 1533-position model. The record is from RNAcentral.
GAUGAACGCUGGCGGCGUGCUUUACACAUGCAAGUCGAACGGCAGCACAGGGAGCUUGCUCCCGGGUGGCGAGUGGCGCACGGGUGAGUAAUACAUCGGAACGUGUCCUGUUGUGGGGGAUAACUGCUCGAAAGGGUGGCUAAUACCGCAUGAGACCUGAGGGUGAAAGCGGGGGAUCGCAAGACCUCGCGCAAUUGGAGCGGCCGAUGCCCGAUUAGCUAGUUGGUGAGGUAAAGGUUCACCAAGGCGACGAUCGGUAGCUGGUCUGAGAGGACGACCAGCCACACUGGGACCGAGACACGGCCCAGACUCCUACGGGAGGCAGCAGUGGGGAAUUUUGGACAAUGGGGGCAACCCUGAUCCAGCCAUGCCGCGUGCAGGAUGAAGGCCUUCGGUUGUAAACUGCUUUGUCAGGGACGAAAAGGACCGGUGUUAAUACCAUGGUCUGCUGACGGUACCUCGAAGAAUAAG